This 1890-nucleotide long non-coding RNA is filed under the name Homo sapiens (human). RNAcentral describes it as "HSALNT0187464". Lineage: Eukaryota; Metazoa; Chordata; Mammalia; Primates; Hominidae. The record is from RNAcentral.
CUCGUGAUCUACCCUCCUCGGCUUCCCAAGACGCUGGGAUUACAGGUGUGAGCCACUGCGCCCGGCCUCUUUUUUUGGAAUUAGCUGUUAGCCCUUCCCAAGUUGUAUUCAUAGCUUAAAGCCUAUCUAAGCUUUUGCCAAGAACAUAAAGAUUUAAGCAAAACGGAAUGAUAACAGUAUUAUUCUGUUUAAGGCCGGGCAUGGUGGCUCACAUCUGUAAUCCCAGCACUUUAGGAGGCUGAGGUGAUUGGAUCAUCUGAGGUCAGGAGUUCCAGAUCAGCCUAGCCAACAUGGUGAAAUCCCAUCUCUACUAAAAUAUAAAAAUUAGCUGGGUGUGGUGGUGCAUGCCUGUAAUCCCAGCUACUCGGGAGGCUGAGGCGGGAGAAUGGCGUGAACCCAGGCGGCGGAGGCUGAGACAUGAGAAUCACUUGAAAAGGAGGCAGAGGUUGCAGUGAGCCAAGAUCGCGCCACUGCACUCCAGCUUGGGUGAGAGUGAGACUCUGUCUCAAAAAAGAAAAAAAAAAAGAAAAGAAAAAAGAAAAAAUUCUGCUUAUAGCAGUGUAAAGUUUUAAAAGAUGGCUUCACAUAGGCCUGGCACAGUGGCUCAUGCCUAUAAUCCCAGCACUUUGGGAGGCUGAGGCGAGUGGAUCACCUGAGGUCAGGAGUUCGAGACCAGGCUGACCAACAUGGUGAAACCCUGCAUCUACUAAAAAUACAAAAUUAGCUGGACAUGAUGGCGCAUGCCUGUAAUCCCAGAUAUUCGGGAGGCUGAGGCAGAAGAAUUGCUUGAACCAGGGAGGUGGAGAUUGCAGUAAGCCAAGAUCGUGCCAUUGCACUCCAGCCUGGACAAGAGUGAAACUCCAUCUAAAAAAAAAAAAUGGCUUCACAUAUAUUUGAUGCCAGGCUCAUUUGACCUUUAAGAAGAAAAACAGGAUGUAAUUACAGCAGAUUUUUUUCAGCUCUAUUUUGUGGAGAAGACAUUAAGGCUCACAGAGGUAAAGUCUCUUGCUCAGUAUCACAGAGUUAUCAAAUGGUAAAGCAAGAAUUUAAAUCAAGGUCUUUCAAGUAGUACAAUUUUUCUUACACACGAUUAAUUGAAAACCAUGAGGACUGUCCUUGGCCCACAGGAUUGGAUCUCCUUGCUGUGCUGACAGCUGGAUCUGUUCAUCAACUCACCACCUUUGUCCAGCCCCAUGACCUGGUCAAACCUCAGGCUAUCAAUGUGGUACAGCGGCUCCAGUACCCAGUAAAACCCAAAAUACAACAAAGGAGAACAGAAGAUGCAUGUAAUCUCGAUGUUUGAACGUUUGAAUGAUUGACUGAAAAGAAGACACAAACAAUUUCAAACAGUGUCUCUGGUACCAGGACAAACCAGGAACAUUCUGAUCCUAGAGUUGUUUAAACAAAGACUGGAGAGUACUGCCUUCUUUGGCGUACCAGAACCCACAGUAAAGUGGUAAAUUACUGUGUAACCAGAUGGGACCUUCAAGUCCAACACUAUCAAAUUAUAAAGAAGAAUUUCAGUAGCAGCUCGGAUUACAACCUCACUCACUCCACUGAGCCACUCUGAGUAUUGCAAAACACUUAUAGGAUGCAGGUAUUGCUAGGUCUGUUGUCGUCUGGAUGAUUAUAGCACAAGUGAAACAGAAGACUAAGAGAUUUGAAGGCGUUAAUGCUGGAAAUAGUGAUGGAUAGUCACUAUAUUUCUGAGCUAGGGAAGAAAAUGAGGCCAGAAGAUAAUUUGGAAACCAGGAGAACUGAGACAAGGUGGGUUUAAAUCAAGUUUAGCUUAAAGCUGCCUUCUCACAUGUUUAAGUUUGGCCUACAGGUUUUUCUGUACAUCAUGAACUGUAAAAAGUGGAGGUAUACAGCCCACAUCCGUGCCAAUCA